UACGGAGGGUGCAAGCGUUAUCCGGAAUCAUUGGGUUUAAAGGGUCCGUAGGCGGAUAGAUAAGUCAGAGGUGAAAUCCUGCAGCUCAACUGUAGAAUUGCCUUUGAUACUGUUUAUCUUGAAUCAUUGUGAAGUGGUUAGAAUAUGUAGUGUAGCGGUGAAAUGCUUAGAUAUUACAUAGAAUACCAAUUGCGAAGGCAGAUCACUAACAAUGUAUUGACGCUGAUGGACGAAAGCGUGGGGAGCGAACAGG
This 253-nucleotide ribosomal RNA is filed under the name uncultured bacterium. RNAcentral describes it as "partial 16S ribosomal RNA". It matches the Rfam family "Bacterial small subunit ribosomal RNA", at positions 524 to 776 of the family's 1533-position model. The record is from RNAcentral.